GACGAACGCUAGCGGCAGGCCUAAUACAUGCAAGUCGAACGGUAAGGCUUCUUCGGAAGUACACGAGUGGCGCACGGGUGCGUAACACGUAUGCAACCUACCCUUUAGAGGGGGAUAGUCGCGGGAAACUGCGAAUAAUACCCCAUAUGCUCACGGAUUGGCAUCAAUUUGUGGGGAAAGCUCCGGCGCUAAAGGAUGGGCAUGCGUCCCAUUAGCUAGUUGGUGAGGUAACUGCUCACCAAGGCUCCGAUGGGUAACUGGUCUGAGAGGAUGAUCAGUCACACGGGCACUGAGACACGGGCCCGACUCCUACGGGAGGCAGCAGUAAGGAAUAUUGGACAAUGGACGCAAGUCUGAUCCAGCCAUGCCGCGUGGUGGAUGACGGCCCUCUGGGUUGUAAACACCUUUUAUGUGGGGAUAAUGUGGUUCUAUAUGAGCCAUUGCAGGUACCACAUGAAUAAGCACCGGCUAACU
Molecule: ribosomal RNA, 474 nt
Filed under: uncultured bacterium
Lineage: Bacteria
Description: bacterial SSU rRNA
Rfam family: Bacterial small subunit ribosomal RNA
Source: RNAcentral